AGUCCGGGUGAGGAGGUCCCAUCUGGUGUGCUAGCCGUGAUCCUGUCUCAGCUCUGCCUUAUAACUUCCUGUUUCCUGUCUGUAUAGUUCUCCUGAGACACCCAUUUACAGGGGUAAUGGCUGUCUGCUGGCAGAAGAGUCAAAAAUCCAGGGUUCAGUUCAUGAAACUGGAAGUGUCAGCGCUCUGUCUGGAGCUGGUACCUUGGAGGACUAGAGAGCUGCUGGUCUGUGGUCCACACAGAAUCGAGAGGAAGUUCUAACGCCAGUGAAGGAAUGCCUCUGCAGCAGGGGACAUGAACUCGCCAGUGAGAGUGAGGACAAGCAGGCAAAGAGCAAGAGCUUCCUUCUUCUGUGGCCUUUUAUGUGACUGCCAGCAGAAGGCGUGGCCCCGAUGUGGAAUGGGUCUUCCCACUUCAAAUGAUCCAGUCAAAAAGAUCUCUCACAGGCGUGCCCAGAUGCUGGGUUUUAGUUGAUUCCAGAUGUUGUCAAGUUGACAACCAAGAUUAGCAUCACACUCAUCCUCUGGUAGAUAUAUAUUGUGAAUUUUUGUCCUGGAUGGAGCUUGCCUUAUCUCCUCCUCUUCAAAUUCCUCCUCUUCUAUUUCUGUUUGUUUGUGUUUAAAUCGGCCUUGCCUAAAGCAGAAGUUUCUAUUAAAAAAUCAUUGCAUCUUUGUU
Molecule: long non-coding RNA, 674 nt
Filed under: Cricetulus griseus (Chinese hamster)
Lineage: Eukaryota; Metazoa; Chordata; Mammalia; Rodentia; Cricetidae
Description: lncRNA (ENSCGRG00015039262.1)
Source: RNAcentral